GGGUCGGUACCAAAGCGGUCAACUGGGGCAGACUGUAAAUCUGCUGGCAUACGCCUUCGGGGGUUCGAAUCCCUCCCGGCCCACCA
This 86-nucleotide transfer RNA is filed under the name bacterium. RNAcentral describes it as "tRNA-Tyr". It matches the Rfam family "tRNA". From Rfam's summary of the family: Transfer RNA (tRNA) molecules are approximately 80 nucleotides in length. Their secondary structure includes four short double-helical elements and three loops (D, anti-codon, and T loops). The record is from RNAcentral.